UACGGAGGGUCCGAGCGUUAUCCGGAAUCAUUGGGUUUAAAGGGUCCGUAGGCGGGCCCGUAAGUCAGAGGUGAAAGGCCACGGCUCAACCGUGGGACUGCCUUUGAUACUGCGGGUCUUGAGUUACAGUGAGGUUGCCGGAACAUGUGGUGUAGCGGUGAAAUGCAUAGAUAUCACAUAGAACACCGAUCGCGAAGGCAGGUGGCCAACUGUAUACUGACGCUGAUGGACGAAAGCGUGGGUAGCGAACGGG
RNAcentral lists this ribosomal RNA (253 nucleotides) under uncultured bacterium. RNAcentral's name for it is "partial 16S ribosomal RNA". It matches the Rfam family "Bacterial small subunit ribosomal RNA", at positions 524 to 776 of the family's 1533-position model. The record is from RNAcentral.